AAUAAAAAACUCAUAAUGACAAUAAAAACUUAAGAAUAUAAGGGAUAUAUACUUGACCAUCUUUUGUGAGAAAAAAAAAAUCAUGCAAAUCUAAUACCAUCUCUAAAAAUUAAUAGUUUAAUCAAGUUGAACAAUUGCAACCUAUCCAGAAACUAAAUAGUGCUACAUUUUUUAUAAUUAAAUAGCUAUAGCCCAUAAAUAGUUUCCAAAAAGGAAUACAAAAAUCUUCAAAAAAGACUUACCAGCCUGCUAACAGCCAUUUAAACAUCAUUAUAAAAUGUAACAAGUGCUUUUAAAAUAAAAAGCAGUAACUCAACAGUGAAAAUCAGGUCAAUGACAUGUACAUAUGACAGACAUUUAUAACUUCGUAACAUUAUAUAUCUGCAUAAAAAAAAAUGUAAAAAGCAUUCAAUUCUUUAACUUUAAAAUAACUAUAGGCUCUAAAGAGCCUGUGUUGUUGACCUUAGUCUAAGUGCAUAUUCUACAGAGGACACAUACUCUCCAACAUUGCUCUUGUCAGAUUAUCUCAAUUCAUUACAGUUAAUAACUAAAUAAUAGACAAAAUUGCAUUUUACACUGUGUAUUAUUUUUUUACCAUGUCUGCCAUCUUCAUUGGCAGGCGGACAGGGUCAGAGUACAUAUUUUACAAAAAAAAUACAUACUCCAAUUAUUAUUGUAGCCAUGUCUGGUAAAAUUUUACCUACAAGUUUCAGAUUAUAUUUUUGUUAAAGUAAACCAUGUAAAUAGACAAUUUUAAAUGAACAUUGUAUAAAUUCAAUUUAUAUUCAACUAAAGAUUUCUUGCUGUUGUGCAAUACACUGUGCUGUUGCGCAAUACUAAGUAUGCUGUUGGGCAAUACUUAGUAAAUCUUUUGUCAGUUUGACACAUUCCCCA
RNAcentral lists this long non-coding RNA (894 nucleotides) under Mytilus galloprovincialis (Mediterranean mussel). Lineage: Eukaryota; Metazoa; Mollusca; Bivalvia; Mytilida; Mytilidae. The record is from RNAcentral.